This 492-nucleotide ribosomal RNA is filed under the name uncultured bacterium. RNAcentral describes it as "partial 16S ribosomal RNA". It matches the Rfam family "Bacterial small subunit ribosomal RNA", at positions 28 to 523 of the family's 1533-position model. The record is from RNAcentral.
GAUGAACGCUAGCGGAAGGCUUAAUACAUGCAAGUCGAGCGGUAGGUGGCUUCGGCCAUUGAGAGCGGCGCACGGGUGAGUAACGCGUACAUGGCCUGCCUGUCAGAAGGGGAUAGCCCUGGGAAACUGGGAUUAAUACCCUAUGGUAUUGAUAUUAUGAAUGAUAUCACUUAAAGUUGAGGCGCUGACAGAUGGAUGUGCGUCUGAUUAGCUAGUUGGUAGGGUAACGGCCUACCAAGGCGACGAUAAGUAGGGGGCGUGAGAGCGUGGUCCCCCACAAGGGUACUGAGACACGGACCCGAAUCCUACGGGAGGCAGCAGUAAGGAAUAUUGGUCAAUGCCCGCAAGGGUGAACCAGCCAUUCCGCGUGGAGGAUGAAGGCCCUAUGGGUUGUAAACUUCUUUUAGAUGGGAAGAAAAUGCUAGAUGUAUCUGGUACUGACGGUACCAUCAGAAUAAGCACCGGCUAACUCCGUGUCAGCAGCCGCCGUAA